This 495-nucleotide ribosomal RNA is filed under the name uncultured bacterium. Its description in RNAcentral is "partial 16S ribosomal RNA". It matches the Rfam family "Bacterial small subunit ribosomal RNA", at positions 28 to 507 of the family's 1533-position model. The record is from RNAcentral.
GACGAACGCUGGCGGCGUGCCUAAUACAUGCAAGUAGAACGCUGAAGGAGGAGCUUGCUUCUCUGGAUGAGUUGCGAACGGGUGAGUAACGCGUAGGUAACCUGCCUGGUAGCGGGGGAUAACUAUUGGAAACGAUAGCUAAUACCGCAUAAUAGCAGUUGUUGCAUGACAACUGUUUGAAAGGUGCAAUUGCACCACUACCAGAUGGACCUGCGUUGUAUUAGCUAGUUGGUGGGGUAACGGCUCACCAAGGCGACGAUACAUGGCCGACCUGAGAGGGGGGUCGGCCACACUGGGAGUGAGAAACGGCCCAGACUCCUACGGGAGGCAGCAGUAGGGAAUCUUCGGCAAUGGACGGAAGUCUGACCGAGCAACGCCGCGUGAGUGAAGAAGGUUGUCGGAUCGUAAAGCUCUGUUGUAAGAGAAGAACGAGUGUGAGAGUGGAAAGUUCACACUGUGACGGUAUCUUACCAGAAAGGGACGGCUAACUACGUG